Long non-coding RNA from Myotis lucifugus (little brown bat), 513 nucleotides. RefSeq lists it as uncharacterized. The transcript is spliced from 3 exons. Lineage: Eukaryota; Metazoa; Chordata; Mammalia; Chiroptera; Vespertilionidae. The record is from RefSeq and is a predicted model, not a curated record.
AAAUUUUCUCCAUGGGACAGUCUAGGGCGCAAGGGUGUCCUGACUCUGGCAAUGUGACUGACAUCCCUAAGGAUGACCUCUGCUCCACAGGACUGAGUGGAGGCCAAUCCCAAGAGGUUAAGGAACACGUUUUCCUUGAAACAGCAGGCACCGGCCAACGCCUGAUUUUACUGCUCUGCACCCUGCGGGUCAGGCAGUUAAACAUCUGCAAAGAACAAGAGAUAACACCCUGUGUGGGGCCCAGUGGAGUUUUCCAGAGGCUACAUGGCAUAUAAUAUCAUCAUUCUCACAACUAAUGAAAGUUAUAGAAUCACAGUAUCCUCUGUCAUCUACCAGAGUUAACCGACAGAGAUAAGGACAGAAGGGCGACCUCCAUUUAUCUCCUUUUUUCUUCAUGGGCUGAAUCCUGAGGGACCUCCAGGAGCCAUCUCCAGCCCCCUGGCCUGAAGGAAGAGCUGAAAUAAUUUCCACAGAAAACUCAUGUCUUAGAAACAAGGAAAUGGUGCCUAUUAU